UCCGGUUUAACACCGGCAGUCUCCUUAGAGUCCCCAACUUAAUGCUGGUAACUAAGAAUAAGGGUUGCGCUCGUUAUCGGACUUAACCGGACAUCUUACGACACGAGCUGACGACAGCCAUGCAGCACCUAUCACCGAGCCUCCGAAGAGGAGACCACAUCUCUGUGGCUGUCCCGGGAUGUUAAGGGUAGGUAAGGUUCUGCGCGUUGCUUCGAAUUAAACCACAUACUCCACCGCUUGUGCGGGCCCCCGUCAAUUCCUUUGAGUUUUAGCCUUGCGACCGUACUCCCCAGGCGGGAUACUUAAUGCGUUAGCUUUAGUACUCAGGAGGUUAACUUCCCGAACACCUAGUAUCCAUCGUUUACGGCGUGGACUAC
This 377-nucleotide unclassified non-coding RNA is filed under the name uncultured Oligoflexaceae bacterium. RNAcentral's name for it is "contains 16S-23S intergenic spacer region". Lineage: Bacteria; Pseudomonadati; Bdellovibrionota; Oligoflexia; Oligoflexales; Oligoflexaceae. The record is from RNAcentral.